GAAAUAUUUUUCUGUAAUGAGACAAACAGAAGCUGCACAGACUGAGAGUCUACAGAAGAUGAAGUGGACAACAAGGAUGGGAACAGCACAUACAGGAAAACUGAUGAUUUCUUUACUUUACCAAAGGAUGGUAUUUGUGAAUAUGAACUGAACAGUCUCCUCUGCCUCCAAGUACUACGGUCAGUCCCGACAGCGUCAUGACCCCCUGCCUUCUGCCUGAGAGCCCUCUGGCAGUUGGACUGAAGUUGAAGUUGUCUGCCUUCCCAGUGCCAUGGUUUGGUCUGUAGCAACUAUUUAAUAAAGGCAUCAUCAAUGUCUGGACUCAUGGGUGGUUAAUUUCUAGAAGACUUGGUA
This 354-nucleotide long non-coding RNA is filed under the name Fukomys damarensis (Damara mole-rat). Its description in RNAcentral is "lncRNA (ENSFDAG00000024086.1)". The record is from RNAcentral. Lineage: Eukaryota; Metazoa; Chordata; Mammalia; Rodentia; Bathyergidae.